This 327-nucleotide ribosomal RNA is filed under the name uncultured bacterium. RNAcentral's name for it is "bacterial SSU rRNA". It matches the Rfam family "Bacterial small subunit ribosomal RNA", at positions 28 to 334 of the family's 1533-position model. The record is from RNAcentral.
GAUGAACGCUGGCGGCGUGCUUAACACAUGCAAGUCGAACGGAGUAGCUCAUGACAGAGGAUUCGUCCAAUGGAUUGAGUUACUUAGUGGCGGACGGGUGAGUAACGCGUGAGGAACCUGCCUCGGUAGUGGGGGAUAACAGUCCGAAAGGUACUGCUAAUACCCCCAUAUGAGCUUGGUUGAAAUACCAAUCUUGAAAGUUCCGGCGCCCUAAGAUGAGACCUGCACCUGAUUAGCUAGUUGGUGGUGUAAUGGGACUACCAAGGCGAUGAUCAGUAGCUGGUUUGAGAGGAUGAUCAGCCACAAUGGGACUGAGACACGGCCCAG